GCUGCUCGAAUGAAUCACACACCUCUCCGUGGUGAGCAGUAGGCAACGUUUAUAUGGACGGCUGAGAUGUGAA
Molecule: ribozyme, 73 nt
Filed under: Faecalimonas umbilicata
Lineage: Bacteria; Bacillati; Bacillota; Clostridia; Lachnospirales; Lachnospiraceae
Description: HDV ribozyme from F. prausnitzii
Rfam family: HDV ribozyme from F. prausnitzii
Source: RNAcentral